GAUGAACGCUGGCGGCGUGCCUAAUACAUGCAAGUCGAGCGGAAAGACGAUGAGCUUGUGCCUUUGACGUUAGCGGCGGGCGGGUGUGUAACACGUGGAUCACCCACUUAUAUGUCGGGGAAAAUUUCGGGAAACGGGAUAUAAUACGAUAGGAUAUAUUGAACCGCAGGGGGCAAUGGAGAAUGUCGGCUGUGGGGGCUGUUAUAGCUGGUUCCGCGCUGCAUUGGGUGGUUGGCAAGGUAACGGCUUACCAAGGCAGCGAUGCGUGGCCGAGCUGAGAGGGUGAUCGGCCACACUGGAACUGAGACACGCUCCAGACUCCUACGGGAGGCAGCAGUCGGGAAUCUUCGGCAAUGGGCGGAAGCCUGACGCAGCAACCCCGAGUGAGUGACGAAGGUCUUCGGGUCGUAAAGCCCUGUUAUUGGGGAAGAACAGAUGUCUAAUUAACCAUGCCCGUCUUGACGGUACCGAAUCAGAAAGCACCGGCUAACUACGUG
RNAcentral lists this ribosomal RNA (497 nucleotides) under uncultured bacterium. RNAcentral's name for it is "partial 16S ribosomal RNA". It matches the Rfam family "Bacterial small subunit ribosomal RNA", at positions 28 to 507 of the family's 1533-position model. The record is from RNAcentral.